GAUGAAGAACGCAGCGAAAUGCGAAAAGUAAUGUGAAUUGCAGAAUUCAGUGAACCAUCGAAUCUUUGAACGCACAUUGCGCCCGCUGGAACUCCGGCGGGCACGCCUGUCCGAGCGUCAUUAAAAUCACUCAAGCUUAGGUUUACCUAUUGCUUGGUCUUGGAGAUGGAAGCCAAUUUAUUGGAAUCCUCUUCGAAAUUCAAUGGCGAAGACCCUUGCUCUCCCAAGUGUAGUAAUAACUUAUGUCACUGAAGGAAGCGAGAAAUCUUCUGCCGUAACCCCCAUAUUUUCUAUGAUUGACCUCGGAUCAGGUAGGGAUACCCGCUGAACUUAAGCAUAUCAAUAAGCGGAGGA
Molecule: unclassified non-coding RNA, 354 nt
Filed under: soil metagenome
Description: partial contains 5.8S ribosomal RNA, internal transcribed spacer 2, and large subunit ribosomal RNA
Rfam family: 5.8S ribosomal RNA (bases 1-120)
Source: RNAcentral